Molecule: ribosomal RNA, 518 nt
Filed under: uncultured bacterium
Lineage: Bacteria
Description: bacterial SSU rRNA
Rfam family: Bacterial small subunit ribosomal RNA
Source: RNAcentral
UUUGAUCAUGGCUCACCAUUGAACGCUGGCGGCAGAGCCUAACACAUGCAAGUCGAACGGUAACAGGAAGCAGCUUGCUGCUUCGCUGACGAGUGGCGGACGGGUGAGUAAUGUCUGGGAAACUGCCUGAUGGAGGGGGAUAACUACUGGAAACGGUAGCUAAUACCGCAUAACGUCGCAAGACCAAAGAGGGGGACCUUCGGGCCUCUUGCCAUCGGAUGUGCCCAGAUGGGAUUAGCUAGUAGGUGGGGUAACGGCUCACCUAGGCGACGAUCCCUAGCUGGUCUAGAGAGGAUGACCAGCCACACUGGAACUGAGACACGGUACCAGACUCCUACGGGAGGCAGCAGUGGGGAAUAUUGCACAAUGGGCGCAAGCCUGAUGCAGCCAUGCCGCGUGUAUGAAGAAGGCCUUCNGGUUGUAACAGUACUUUCAGCGGGGAGGAAGGCGAUAAGGUUAACUAACCUUGUCAGAUUGACGUUACCCGCAGAAGAAGCACCGGCUAACUCCGUGCCAGC